This 706-nucleotide ribosomal RNA is filed under the name Yamadazyma spencermartinsiae. RNAcentral describes it as "eukaryotic LSU rRNA". The stretch from base 505 to 706 matches the Rfam family "Eukaryotic large subunit ribosomal RNA", at positions 1 to 201 of the family's 3401-position model. Lineage: Eukaryota; Fungi; Ascomycota; Pichiomycetes; Serinales; Debaryomycetaceae. The record is from RNAcentral.
ACACACUGUGUUUUUUGUUAUUACAAGAACCAUUGCUUUGGCUUGGCUUAAAAUAAGUUGGGCCAAAGGUAUACUAAAACUUCAAUUUAUUUAAUUGAAUUGUUAUUUAAUAUAAUUUUGUCAAUUUGUUUGAUUAAUUUCAAAAUAAUCUUCAAAACUUUCAACAACGGAUCUCUUGGUUCUCGCAUCGAUGAAGAACGCAGCGAAAUGCGAUAAGUAAUAUGAAUUGCAGAUUUUCGUGAAUCAUCGAAUCUUUGAACGCACAUUGCGCCCUCUGGUAUUCCAUAGGGCAUGCCUGUUUGAGCGUCAUUUCUCUCUCAAACCUUUGGGUUUGGUAUUGAGUGAUACUCUUAGUCGAACUAGGCGUUUGCUUGAAAAGUAUUGGCAUGAGUGUGCUGGAUAGUACGUUCUGAUUAUUCAAUGUAUUAGGUUUAUCCAACUCGUUGAAGGAUCAGGUGUAAAUUUCUGGUUACAUUGGCUCGGCCUUACAACAACAAACAAGUUUGACCUCAAAUCAGGUAAGAAUACCCGCUGAACUUAAGCAUAUCAAUAAGCGGAGGAAAAGAAACCAACAGGGAUUGCCUUAGUAGCGGCGAGUGAAGCGGCAAUAGCUCAAAUUUGAAAUCUGGCACCUUCGGUGUCCGAGUUGUAAUUUGAAGAAGGUAUCUUUGGUUUUGGCUCUUGUCUAUGUUUCUUGGAACAGGAC